Long non-coding RNA from Ictalurus punctatus (channel catfish), 1568 nucleotides. NCBI's taxonomy places the organism in Eukaryota, Metazoa, Chordata, Actinopteri, Siluriformes, Ictaluridae. The record is from Ensembl.
CUUUUUGAUAUUUAAACAGUGAACAAGCAACCAAAAUAUUCCAAACAGGAAACGGCUUCACCCUUUAAAAUUUUUAUUUUCUGUUUAAUGUAGUUUGUUCUUCUCAAAACAAACAAAAAAAUACUUCCACUAGCCCCGCCCUCAGUGUCUGCAGGGUCUUUGUGCCCACUUGUCUGCCGUAGCUGGUGGAGAGAAGGAUGGAGCAUGGGCGGGGCUAACGUCCUUUUCUGCUAAAACAACUCGCAAACUUUGAUAAUACCUUAAAACUGCCCUAGCACGGAAAUGGUAUAUACAGAGCCGAGUGGAAAUGUCCCACAGCUGAGGGCGGGUCUGCGCCCAGAUUGUUGAUGCACACUCAUGUGAGCUAGCAAGUCGUGAUAAAAUUGUUCACUGUACAGUUUAAGGCAUUGCAACAAAAACAGGGGGUGGGGAUUGUUUCAGAAAAAUAAAGAAAAAAUUUACAUUAUAUACACAAAAGGGUGGAGCUUAAGGCGAAAUCCGUAAGAUAUCGUGUCUAACGUAAUUUGUCACCUUGACUAGCUAACUACAUGAACGUAGCUAUAAUAACAAUAUUUGCUAGCGUUAAUAUGGCAUGACAAAAUAAAUCACGGUGUUUCUCAAGCAAGCUAGCUAACUAACAAGCACCAAGAAAUAUUGUGACCUUGUCAUGAUAGUUUAACUUAAGCUCCACCCUUAUCAAUAACACGACCAAGAGGAGGAAAUUUAAAGUAAAAAGAAAAUGUAUACAUGAAGAGGAAGGAGGAAAAUAGUUGGCAUGUGCCGAUAAAUCAUUUUUCUGUGUGUGAUUUACGAUAUAAUUUCAAAUUUAGCCAAAAAUGAUAAUCUGUUCCGCUAGGUCACCACAAACUGGCUUCCUAUUCGUACAGCAACGCUGCUAGCGUCUCAGCUUUGCUAAUCAGAACAGUGGUCGUCUGUCUUGUGUAUGCUGUAUACUGUGAUAUCUGACUAACCGAUUAUCGGCACACGCCUUGAAAACUGAGGAAGUAAGUGUGUGAAAAGGCGAGAGGAGCCAGGUCUGUGUGUCGGAAGCCUCAGACGGACCGUGACGCUCCGAUCACACGGAUGCUGUCGAAACAAAGAGAAGUCAGAUCAGGACGCAGUCAAGGUUCACGCUCUUUUUUUAUAAAUAAAUAAAUAAAUAAAUAAAUAAAUAAAUAAAAACAAACUACUUUGUGAAAUGCAUGGUAGCUGAACUGGUGAUUUGUGAGAAGAAGCUGGUGUUUUACCUGUCCUCACACUGAAACCUGGUGGUUUCACUCGUUCUUCUUCCUCGAGGACCUGCAGCAGUCUUUCUCUCUUCCUGCAGUUCUAAUCCUCUAAGAAAAGGAACUUCCACUGUGUUGUUCUUUACAAGUUCUCCAUCCAUAUCCAAGGGUUUAACACACCCUAAUGUUCUCCAGAAGCUCAUCUGCUGUGGACUUUUCUAGGAAACAUUGAGUUAAAAUCCACUGUUUCAGCAACAGUGCUGGAUUUUCCUUCAUAUGCCAAAGACCACUCUAGUCCGCUUCUCGAGACCACCCUUCCACCCCCCCAAAACAUUACAGGAG